Molecule: non-coding RNA, 25 nt
Filed under: Rattus norvegicus (Norway rat)
Lineage: Eukaryota; Metazoa; Chordata; Mammalia; Rodentia; Muridae
Source: RNAcentral
UGCUUUAGGUCCGCAGGAAUGUGAU